Aethalodelphis obliquidens (Pacific white-sided dolphin) is the source of this 946-nucleotide long non-coding RNA. RefSeq lists it as uncharacterized. The record is from RefSeq and is a predicted model, not a curated record. NCBI's taxonomy places the organism in Eukaryota, Metazoa, Chordata, Mammalia, Artiodactyla, Delphinidae. The transcript is spliced from 2 exons.
CCCUGCAUCGGCAGGCGGACUCUCAACCACUGCGCCACCAGGGAAGCCCAAGGAUUAUGGAAGUGGGAUAUGUACAUUUGAGAAGCACUUUUAUCCAUACAUGUGGGUGAAAAUCUAAUUUUGUAUAAAUCAAAAUUAGGUUCCUUGAAGGUGAAAAGCAGUCAUUUGUUCCGGAUCAUAACCACAUUGCCUGUAUCUAGUGUGGGAUAAGUUGUAACUUCUCACUGAGUCUAAGGUUUCAAGGACGUGUGAAGCCAAAGUGAACCAUAAAAACACUGCGGAACCACCUCCAUGUUCCACUGAACAGUGUUAAUCUCUCAAAUGUGUAUGUUAGUGCCUAAUUGCACAGAAUCUGUAACUUGCUAGAUCUUUAGGGAUGGAGUCAAUACUUAACUUGCUUUUCACAUUAAAGAAUUCAACUUUUCAGAUAAAAUAUACUUUAAAAUUUCAAAAAUCAUUCCUGGGGGAACUUUUAGCAUUCCUUGUCAUGAUGUACUUGUGUGCAGUAAGUGCAGCAUUUGCAGCUGCUUAACUCUGUUCCUCUUAUUUUUUCAAUUUCCAAAUUGAGAUUAUAAAAAGCAAGUGAUUUGUGUAAUUUGAUGUUUGUGGAGUUGUGCCUACUAUUAAUGGAAAUAUGCACGUCAGUUACUCAGAGGUUGUUGAUGUGAAACUGGUUAGAAAUUCCAGGUGUGUCGGUGUGUUUCUUACAGGUGCACUGGACACUAGUGAAUUUGUCACAGCUCUCUUCACUUUUAUGGUGUAUAAAGUACAGCUAGCUUAUAAAACUUGAAAAUAUGGCACUAGUCUAUUCAUGCCUGAAAUCUUGGAGUCCAGGAUGCCUUGUCUCUUACUUUUCAAAUAAGUGAAACUUUGGGAGUUUAGAAUGUAAAAUUUGUGAAGUUUGUUUUGUCAAAAUAAAACGUUCACACUAGAUUUUUCCUCUGAA